Molecule: ribosomal RNA, 1426 nt
Filed under: Lactiplantibacillus plantarum
Lineage: Bacteria; Bacillati; Bacillota; Bacilli; Lactobacillales; Lactobacillaceae
Description: bacterial SSU rRNA
Rfam family: Bacterial small subunit ribosomal RNA
Source: RNAcentral
CGAACGAACUCUGGUAUUGAUUGGUGCUUGCAUCAUGAUUUACAUUUGAGUGAGUGGCGAACUGGUGAGUAACACGUGGGAAACCUGCCCAGAAGCGGGGGAUAACACCUGGAAACAGAUGCUAAUACCGCAUAACAACUUGGACCGCAUGGUCCGAGUUUGAAAGAUGGCUUCGGCUAUCACUUUUGGAUGGUCCCGCGGCGUAUUAGCUAGAUGGUGGGGUAACGGCUCACCAUGGCAAUGAUACGUAGCCGACCUGAGAGGGUAAUCGGCCACAUUGGGACUGAGACACGGCCCAAACUCCUACGGGAGGCAGCAGUAGGGAAUCUUCCACAAUGGACGAAAGUCUGAUGGAGCAACGCCGCGUGAGUGAAGAAGGGUUUCGGCUCGUAAAACUCUGUUGUUAAAGAAGAACAUAUCUGAGAGUAACUGUUCAGGUAUUGACGGUAUUUAACCAGAAAGCCACGGCUAACUACGUGCCAGCAGCCGCGGUAAUACGUAGGUGGCAAGCGUUGUCCGGAUUUAUUGGGCGUAAAGCGAGCGCAGGCGGUUUUUUAAGUCUGAUGUGAAAGCCUUCGGCUCAACCGAAGAAGUGCAUCGGAAACUGGGAAACUUGAGUGCAGAAGAGGACAGUGGAACUCCAUGUGUAGCGGUGAAAUGCGUAGAUAUAUGGAAGAACACCAGUGGCGAAGGCGGCUGUCUGGUCUGUAACUGACGCUGAGGCUCGAAAGUAUGGGUAGCAAACAGGAUUAGAUACCCUGGUAGUCCAUACCGUAAACGAUGAAUGCUAAGUGUUGGAGGGUUUCCGCCCUUCAGUGCUGCAGCUAACGCAUUAAGCAUUCCGCCUGGGGAGUACGGCCGCAAGGCUGAAACUCAAAGGAAUUGACGGGGGCCCGCACAAGCGGUGGAGCAUGUGGUUUAAUUCGAAGCUACGCGAAGAACCUUACCAGGUCUUGACAUACUAUGCAAAUCUAAGAGAUUAGACGUUCCCUUCGGGGACAUGGAUACAGGUGGUGCAUGGUUGUCGUCAGCUCGUGUCGUGAGAUGUUGGGUUAAGUCCCGCAACGAGCGCAACCCUUAUUAUCAGUUGCCAGCAUUAAGUUGGGCACUCUGGUGAGACUGCCGGUGACAAACCGGAGGAAGGUGGGGAUGACGUCAAAUCAUCAUGCCCCUUAUGACCUGGGCUACACACGUGCUACAAUGGAUGGUACAACGAGUUGCGAACUCGCGAGAGUAAGCUAAUCUCUUAAAGCCAUUCUCAGUUCGGAUUGUAGGCUGCAACUCGCCUACAUGAAGUCGGAAUCGCUAGUAAUCGCGGAUCAGCAUGCCGCGGUGAAUACGUUCCCGGGCCUUGUACACACCGCCCGUCACACCAUGAGAGUUUGUAACACCCAAAGUCGGUGGGGUAACCUUUUAGGAACCAGCC